GAUGAACGCUAGCGACAGGCUUAACACAUGCAAGUCGAGGGCAACGGGGUGAGCAAUCAUCUGCCGGCGACCGGCGCACGGGUGAGUAACACGUAUGCAACCUGCCCGUCACAGGGGGAUAAUCGAGAGAAAUCUCGUCUAAUACCGCAUACACUCUUCGGGAGGCAUCUUCGGGAGAGGAAAGAUUAAAUUGGUAGACGGAUGGGCAUGCGGGACAUUAGCUAGUUGGCGGGUAACGGCCCACCAAGGCGACGAUGUCUAGGGGUUCUGAGAGGAAGGUCCCCCCAGACUGGGUACUGAGACACGGGACCAGACUCCUACGGGAGCAGCAGUGAGG
This 337-nucleotide ribosomal RNA is filed under the name uncultured bacterium. RNAcentral's name for it is "bacterial SSU rRNA". It matches the Rfam family "Bacterial small subunit ribosomal RNA", at positions 28 to 359 of the family's 1533-position model. The record is from RNAcentral.